GGAUUUGGUAGUUUCAAGCAUUUAAAACUAUCUGAAUAUCCCGAGUUAAAAGAGUUCUGGUAUGGUCAACUUGAGCAUAACGCAUAUAGGAGUUUGAAGCAUCUAGUGGUUCAUAAAUGUGGUUUUUUAUCCGAUGUGCUCUUUCAACCUAACUUGCUAGAAGUGCUGAUGAACCUGAAAGAAUUAGAUGUGGAGGAUUGUAAUUCAUUAGAAGCAGUUUUUGAUUUGAAAGAUGAAUUUGCCAAAGAAAUUGUUGUCCAGAAUUCUAGUCAACUCAAGAAAUUAAAACUAUCUAAUCUUCCAAAACUGAGGCAUGUAUGGAAGGAGGAUCCACAUAACACUAUGAGGUUUCAAAAUUUAAGUGAUGUAUCCGUUGUGGGAUGCAAUAGCUUGAUAAGCCUCUUUCCACUUUCAGUAGCUAGAGAUUUGAUGCAACUUCAAAGUCUUCAAGUAAUUAAAUGUGGGAUUCAAGAAAUUGUUGCCAAGGAAGAAGGAACAGAUGAGAUGGUUAAAUUUGUGUUUCCUCAUUUGACAUUCAUUAAACUUAAUAAUUUGACCAAACUUAAGGCAUUCUUUGUUGGGGUCCAUUCUCUUCAAUGCAAAUCAUUGAAAACAAUUAAUUUGUUUGGAUGUCCAAAAAUAGAGCUAUUUAAGGCAGAGACUUUGAGACACCAAGAAAGUUCCAGAAAUGAUGUGCUCAAUAUCUCAACAUAUCAACCUCUUUUUGUGAAUGAAGACGUGAGGGUAGUAUUAUAAAUGCACAGAAAAAAAUUUCAAUGUUAUGUUCAUUUGAAGAUAAUAAUUGAUAAUUUACUUUGGAGUUAUUAUUCUACUUAGCACAGAUAGAACACUUUUUAAUAAUUGAUAAUAAUUAAUUUGUUUUGUUUGAAUUUGGUUUUUGCAACAGGUACUUGCCAAUGUGGAGAGUUUGUCUUUGAACAAAAAAGAUUUUGGCAUGAUAUUGAAGAGCCAAUAUUCGAGGGUUCAAUUCAACAACAUCAAACACAUUACCGUUUGUGAGUUUUACAAUGAAGAAGCAACUUUUCCAUAUUGGUUCUUGAAAGAUGUUCCUAAUUUAGAAACCUUGUUGGUCGAAUGGAGUUCCUUCANGUUGUAACUCAUAUUACAGUUACUUAGUUAUGAUGCUUUAUGGACAUCUUAAUAUUACUUUGUGUGCUAAUAUAUUGCCUAGUUUGUAAUUUGAUUAAUUUCAUAAAAUAAAAUUUUCAAAUGAUAUAGCAUCAAGAAUGUGAUGUGUACAUUAAUUGCAAUGAAAUGCGUACGGUAACAAAUUUAUACCAACAAAUGAUAGGUCUCGGCAAGUUUUUAGUGACGGAAAUGUUUGUAGGUAAAAACCAUUUGCAGUUCUAUACCUACGUCCAAAUCUGUAGGUAAAAAGUUUUUGUAUUUCUAAUUAAGUUCUAUACCUACGCCAAAAAUCCGUAGGUAAAACAUAAUUGUUUUCUCCAACGGCUUUAGAUUCCGUAACUAUAGGCUGUAGCGACGGCUCAAAUCCGUAGGUAUAACACCAGUAUCCACCACGAAAAAAAUUGCCGUAGGUAUAGGUAAUUUGGCAUACACCUACGGUAAAAGGAUAUUUACCUAUGGUUUUCGGCUGUCACUAAAUGUCAAGUUUCUUGUAGUGAAGAAGGGAUCUAAUAGCGUUGAAGUUUCCGCAAACACACCAAUUGUCUUCUUAGUUAUUAUUAAUAAUGUCACCCAAAUGUAACCACAGAGCUUGCCUACCAAUGGGAUCACAUGGUGCAUACACAUUGGCAAUAAAAAACUCACAACCACUUUUGACAAAGCGACCGUGAAUAAUAAGUGAACUAGCCAACAUCCUGCUGUCCCACACCUCCGCUUCCGAGGUAUCCCAUAGAGUUAAAAUACUGCCUGAAACUUCAACAGAUGGCUUAAAAGAGAAUCCAAAAGUAAGCAGCAGACCCCCAAAGAGAGGUACAAAGUCAUCAAUAUUUUCGAGUUUAGUUUCUUGAAUACACAGAACCCAAGGUUGAUGAGACCGAACCAACUUCAAAACAUCCUUCUGCUUCUCCCAACCACCCAGACCACAAUCAUUAUAUGAGAUAAUAUGCAUAAUAACGAAAAAACACCCCAAAAACCACACCACAACAAAACUAACGGUCUUUCAAAUUGGCUAUAUGCCUAGCCUGGUUGUCAAUUUUUUCUUCUCGUAACGUUUAAGUAACUGAAUCAAUACAUGACGGUCUUCAGCAUGCAUUCUACCUUUUAAAGCUGCAGAACGGUUAGAUGGUUGAAGUUUCGGAGUUGGAGAAUUAAUUGUGUUGUCAGCCAAUUUGAUGUGGUUAUUGAUCCAUUUAGUGCUCUACGGUCCAGUGAUGGGCGGUUGUAUUUUUUCUGCCGAAGAAGGAUUAGUGGAAAUAACAUGGGUGGUGAGGUGAGAGGAUUUGGGCAAUAUAGGAGAGCCAACCAAAUGAAGAGAUAAUGGUAAAGUAACGUGAGCAUGAUUUUGUGAUUGGUUUGGUGGCACUUUAUCAAGACAUCCUGCAGUAGAAGAGUUAGAAGUAGAUACAAGUUUGACAACUGGACAUCCCUUGGCAAGUGGUGGUAGCUUGGACUCCAAAGAAGCAUUAUGAACUAAGGAGUCAAUGAUAUGUUCAUGUUCAGGUACUUCAUCCGGAUUUGAAAAUUCUGAAGUUGAGUCCGAUUCAAGAUCCUCAAAAAAAACAUCAGCCGAGAGACCGAGCUCUAAUUCUUCGACAAUUUUAACUUUACAUAGCUUGUCAUCAAGUUGAUUUCCUCCAAAGUAGUGAUAGAAAUAGGGAUUCGAGCAAAUUCUAAUCGUUCAAGAUUUGCAGUGCUCAAAUCAAUUUUUAAAAGUCUACCAAACAUCGAAGAGGCAUAAGUUGAAAAACUGAGUGGUCCAAGCAUGCAAAGGGAUGCCAUAUAGUCGCAACCACGCCCCCCUUUCAUAUUUUAAUUCAUCAUUCUUGGACCAAGGAAAAAGGCCCGAAAAAAAUAAAUUAAAGAAUUCAGACGCAUCCGUAGUAACAGUCCUGAUAUUUUCCGUGCCGGAGCAAGUCAGGAACACAUUAUCAGCACCCAUUGGUAUAACUCUGACAUUCUCAAACCCCACCCACAUCUUUAAUUUUCUGCUGGACUAAAAAAACAUGCUCUCCAUUCAAGACUCUUGCAAUAGCCCCCCAUACUCGCCCAUUCAAAAACUUGUUUAUCAGAUGAAAAUUUCCGGACAUACUUCUUCCCCCAAAAAACAUUUGCAGAAUUAUUCAAUUUCCAACAAUAACAUCAGCAAAAGAGGCACCUAUCUCAUAAUUCGCAGCUUCAACAUUAACCACAUGUUUUUGCCAUUAGCGAUUUCUAGUCUAACUCGUUCACACUCAGACUGACUAGCACGGUCUUCUUCUUUCACCAACUCAAAUACCUCUUUCCUUAAACGAGAAAUAGAUAUCUUGUCUUGUAAUUUUUCAACUCCCUCAAUAAUAUUUUUUUUUCUCCCUCAAUAUGAUUCUUAACUCCCUUAACAUGCUUACUUUUUCCUCCCUCGUAAUGGUUAUUACUAACACCACCAAACCUAUUGAAACAUGCAAUGGCAGCCCAAACCUUAAGAUGACCAAAGACAACAUUGUUUAGAGCCUUAUUUAAUUUAGCAACAUCUCUAACAUGAGUGAAACGCACGAAACCAAACAAUUGACCUCUUUUAUUUCUAAAACGUGAAACAAAAAGAUUCGUUAAGAUACCGCAGACCUCAAACCCUUGUCUCGUAUUCAGAUAAUGAAUAUGAUCAGGUAUAUUGGUAAAAUAGAAAGUAGCCAUUGUCAGAAUACCUUGAGAACCAGCAGACUUCUUUGAGGAAUGACGCAGAUGUUGCUGAUGAAAGUGUGACGUUAAUGCGGCUUACAGGUCCUUGACCUGCCACGUGAUUGAAACCCAUAUCUUGAGCUGUGAUCAUAAUUGUUGUUGCGGUAGCAGAUAGGAAUGCUAUAGUAGCAGCGAUUAGGGCUUCUGCCAUGAUCAUCAAAAUAGCGCACACCACUUGCACAUGAACAGGACCUGUGGAGAUGUUCACGUUGCGGCUUAAGGGUCGUUGUGUCAUAGAAAAGAACAAGAGUUUAAACAUCACAAGAUCUAUACUUAUAAUUUUAAUCAAAAUCUAACUAAUUUUCAUGAAAAUAUAAAUUUUAUAAAAAAAUGAUGAUAAUGUAUAUGUGUUAGUGCAAUAAAAAGAACUGAGAAACGGUUAAAAAAGUAUAUACUAGUGUUAGCCCGUCCACUGUUUUUUUAUUUUUUAGAGGGAAGCCCGUCCAAUGCUAGUAUAUAUAAAGUACGUCAAUUGAAAGACAAAUUAGCAUUUAGAUAAAUAAAAUGAUAUUUUAAAUUAUCAUUUUGGGAGAAAAAAUGUAGGUGGUUAUUUAUAAAACAAAACACCAUAGAAGUAGUUUAAUACGUGAACUUAUAAAUAGCAUACUUUUAGGCUUGUUAACAAAAUAAUGUUGAGAAACUAAAAGUCGUAUUAUAGGUGAUUGCAUCCUAUAUAUAGAGCACUAGCUACAAACAAUCUACCCAAUAACUACCAUCUACAAAUAUUUCUUUUGACAUGACUAAUUUUAAAAGUUAUCAUUAAAGAAAAUUAUUAUUAUCCUUAAUUUUAAAAUGAAUAGAAUUGUUAAAUUGAGUUUUACAUUAAUUAGUGUAUAAUAUACUAUUUUGUAAAUGCAUUAUAUUUUACAGCUACGUUUGUUGAACUAACUCACAAUACAAUUGUUUUAACAGGUGGGAUUUGGUAGUUUCAAGCAUUUAAAACUGUCUGAAUAUCCUGACCUUAAAGAGUUCUGGUAUGGUCGACUUGAGCAUAAAGCAUUUAGGAGUUUGAAGCAUCUAGUGGUUCAUAAAUGUGAUUUUUUUUAUCCGAUGUGCUCUUUCAACCUAACUUGGUAGGAGUACUGAUGAACUUGGAAGAAUUAGAUGUGAAGGAUUGUAAUUCAUUAGAAGCAGUUUUUGAUUUGAAAGGUGAAUUCACAGAAGAAAUUGCUGUGCAGAAUUCUACUCAAUUGAAAAAAUUAAAACUAUUCAAU
Molecule: long non-coding RNA, 5072 nt
Filed under: Medicago truncatula (barrel medic)
Lineage: Eukaryota; Viridiplantae; Streptophyta; Magnoliopsida; Fabales; Fabaceae
Description: long non-coding RNA (MTRU_LNC007622)
Source: RNAcentral